AUUGAACGCUGGCGGCAUGCUUUACACAUGCAAGUCGAACGGCAGCACGGGGGCAACCCUGGUGGCGAGUGGCGAACGGGUGAGUAAUAUAUCGGAACGUACCCGGAAAUGGGGGAUAACGUAGCGAAAGUUACGCUAAUACCGCAUAUGCCCUAAGGGGGAAAGCGGGGGUUUCGCAAGAACCUCGCGUUUUCGGAGCGGCCGAUAUCGGAUUAGCUAGUAGGUGAGGUAAAGGCUCACCUAGGCGACGAUCCGUAGCUGGUCUGAGAGGACGACCAGCCACACUGGAACUGAGACACGGUCCAGACUCCUACGGGAGGCAGCAGUGGGGAAUUUUGGACAAUGGGGGGCAACCCUGAUCCAGCCAUGCCGCGUGAGUGAAGAA
RNAcentral lists this ribosomal RNA (385 nucleotides) under uncultured bacterium. RNAcentral's name for it is "bacterial SSU rRNA". It matches the Rfam family "Bacterial small subunit ribosomal RNA", at positions 30 to 412 of the family's 1533-position model. The record is from RNAcentral.